AACGCACAUUGCGCCCCUUGGUAUUCCAUGGGGCAUGCCUGUUCGAGCGUCAUUGACACCCUCAAGCUCUGCUUGGUGUUGGGGCCGUUGUCCUUUCCUCGCCCCCCAGCGACACAGCGACACCCCUCAAAGUCAUUGGCGGCCUUUCUGCCCAGCUUCCCGCGCAGCAGUUCGCGCUUCGGAGACUACUUUGGCAGGCUGGCAUCCAUCAAGCUGACCCUUCAUGCUUGACCUCGGAUCAGGUAGGGAUACCCGCUGAACUUAA
RNAcentral lists this unclassified non-coding RNA (265 nucleotides) under uncultured Pleosporales. RNAcentral describes it as "sequence contains 5.8S rRNA gene, ITS2, 28S rRNA gene". Lineage: Eukaryota; Fungi; Ascomycota; Dothideomycetes; Pleosporales. The record is from RNAcentral.